AGCGGCAAGAGCUCAAAUUUGAAAUCUGGCCCCUGUUUUCGGGGGUCCGAGUUGUAAUUUGGAGAGGAUGCUUCGGGCACGGUCCCGGUCUAAGUGCCCUGGAACGGGCUGUCCGAGAGGGUGAGAAUCCCGUCUGGGACCGGUGACCGCCGUCUGGGUGAAGCUCCCUCGACGAGUCGAGUUGUUUGGGAAUGCAGCUCCAAGUGGGUGGUAAAUUUCAUCUAAAGCUAAAUAUGGGCCGGAGACCGAUAGCGCACAAGUAGAGUGAUCGAAAGAUGAAAAGCACUUUGGAAAGAGAGUCAAAUAGCACGUGAAAUUGUUGAAAGGGAAGCGCUUGCGGUCAGACUCGCCCGGGGAGGCUCAGGUGGCACUUGUGGCCGCUGCACUCCUGCCUGGGUGGGCCAGCGUCGGUUUGGAUGGCCCGUUAAAGGCCCCCGGAAGGUAGCGCCCCUUGGGGCGUCUUAUAGCCGGGGGUGCCAUGCGGCCAGUCCAGACCGAGGAACGC
RNAcentral lists this ribosomal RNA (505 nucleotides) under uncultured Elaphomycetaceae. Its description in RNAcentral is "eukaryotic LSU rRNA". It matches the Rfam family "Eukaryotic large subunit ribosomal RNA", at positions 97 to 599 of the family's 3401-position model. Lineage: Eukaryota; Fungi; Ascomycota; Eurotiomycetes; Eurotiales; Elaphomycetaceae. The record is from RNAcentral.